AUACGGAGGGUGCGAGCGUUAAUCGGAAUUACUGGGCGUAAAGCGUGCGUAGGCGGCAUGGUCAGUCGGACGUGAAAGCCCUAGGCUCAACCUGGGAAUGGCAUUCGAUACUGCCUGACUAGAGUAUGGUAGAGGGAAGUGGAAUUUCCGGUGUAGCGGUGAAAUGCGUAGAUAUCGGAAGGAACACCAGUGGCGAAGGCGACUUCCUGGACCAAUACUGACGCUAAGGUGCGAAAGCGUGGGGAGCAAACAGGAUUAGAAACCCCAGUAGUCC
RNAcentral lists this ribosomal RNA (274 nucleotides) under uncultured bacterium. Its description in RNAcentral is "partial 16S ribosomal RNA". It matches the Rfam family "Bacterial small subunit ribosomal RNA", at positions 523 to 796 of the family's 1533-position model. The record is from RNAcentral.